GCCUCCCUCUGGCGGCGUGCUUAACACGUGCAAGUCGAACGGAAAGGCCCUGCUUUUGUGGGGUGCUCGAGUGGCGAACGGGUGAGUAACACGUGAGUAACCUGCCCUUGACUUUGGGAUAACUUCAGGAAACUGGGGCUAAUACCGGAUAGGAGCUCCUGCUGCAUGGUGGGGGUUGGAAAGUUUCGGCGGUUGGGGAUGGACUCGCGGCUUAUCAGCUUGUUGGUGGGGUAGUGGCUUACCAAGGCUUUGACGGGUAGCCGGCCUGAGAGGGUGACCGGCCACAUUGGGACUGAGAUACGGCCCAGACUCCUACGGGAGGCAGCAGUGGGGAAUAUUGCACAAUGGGCGGAAGCCUGAUGCAGCAACGCCGCGUGCGGGAUGACGGCCUUCGGGUUGUAAACCGCUUUCGCCUGUGACGAAGCGUGAGUGACGGUAAUGGGUAAAGAAGCACCGGCUAACUACGUG
RNAcentral lists this ribosomal RNA (468 nucleotides) under uncultured bacterium. RNAcentral's name for it is "partial 16S ribosomal RNA". It matches the Rfam family "Bacterial small subunit ribosomal RNA", at positions 36 to 507 of the family's 1533-position model. The record is from RNAcentral.